CAGGAUUCAUGUGAGAAGGGAGAAAACAUGAUUAUGUGAGGUAUUGAGCUUCAGAGUUUUAUUACUUGAUAACGAUCUGGUACACUUGCCAGGGACUUAACUCAUCACCUACUUGAGAACUAACAGAGGUGGUGAAUUUACAUCCAAGUUAUUUACAGUUUCUUGUGAUUAACAAGGUAUUUACACACAGUUAACAACAAUGCACACUCCCCA
RNAcentral lists this long non-coding RNA (213 nucleotides) under Vigna radiata. Its description in RNAcentral is "long non-coding RNA (VRAD_LNC002899)". The record is from RNAcentral. Lineage: Eukaryota; Viridiplantae; Streptophyta; Magnoliopsida; Fabales; Fabaceae.